GACGAACGCUGGCGGCGUGCCUAAUACAUGCAAGUAGAACGCACAGGAUGCACCGUAGUUUACUACACCGUAUUCUGUGAGUUGCGAACGGGUGAGUAACGCGUAGGUAACCUGCCUGGUAGCGGGGGAUAACUAUUGGAAACGAUAGCCAAUACCGCAUAAGAACAUUUACUGCAUGGUAGAUGUUUAAAAGGUGCAAAUGCAUCACUACCAGAUGGACCUGCGUUGUAUUAGCUAGUAGGUGAGGUAACGGCUCACCUAGGCGACGAUACAUAGCCGACCUGAGAGGGUGAUCGGCCACACUGGGACUGAGACACGGCCCAGACUCCUACGGGAGGCAGCAGUAGGGAAUCUUCGGCAAUGGGGGGAACCCUGACCGAGCAACGCCGCGUGAGUGAAGAAGGUUUUCGGAUCGUAAAGCUCUGUUGUUAAGGAAGAACGAGUGUGAGAAUGGAAAGUUCAUACUGUGACGGUACUUAACCAGAAAGGGACGGCUAACUACGUGCCAGCAGCCGCGGUAAUACGUAGGUCCCGAGCGUUGUCCGGAUUUAUUGGGCGUAAAGCGAGCGCAGGCGGUUAGAUAAGUCUGAAGUUAAAGGCAGUGGCUCAACCAUUGUAGGCUUUGGAAACUGUUUAACUUGAGUGCAGAAGGGGAGAGUGGAAUUCCAUGUGUAGCGGUGAAAUGCGUAGAUAUAUGGAGGAACACCGGUGGCGAAAGCGGCUCUCUGGUCUGUAACUGACGCUGAGGCUCGAAAGCGUGGGGAGCGAACAGG
RNAcentral lists this ribosomal RNA (773 nucleotides) under uncultured Streptococcus sp. RNAcentral describes it as "bacterial SSU rRNA". It matches the Rfam family "Bacterial small subunit ribosomal RNA", at positions 28 to 776 of the family's 1533-position model. The record is from RNAcentral. Lineage: Bacteria; Bacillati; Bacillota; Bacilli; Lactobacillales; Streptococcaceae.